Long non-coding RNA from Erpetoichthys calabaricus (reedfish), 635 nucleotides. RefSeq lists it as uncharacterized. The record is from RefSeq and is a predicted model, not a curated record. NCBI's taxonomy places the organism in Eukaryota, Metazoa, Chordata, Cladistia, Polypteriformes, Polypteridae. The transcript has 4 exons.
UCAUUUAGAAUAUAAAAAAGCACCACGCAGGACGUCCCAGAUUGCGCUGCCCGCAUGCCCAUGUAAUGUCUCGUCAGCUCAUUGUAAUGGACUCGUGUCUCAUCUCCAGUGAUGGACCACUCCAAUGCUAAUCUGAUGAAGAACUCUGUUAAAGGACAGAUCAUGGCUUACGUCUUGCUAUGUAUCUGCUAUCUGUAUCAUCUGUUGCUGAGAAGCUGAUUUUGAGGCCCCUGCAGGACUGUCUGGUAUACCUGGCGUUACCUGAGGGAACAGAACCCAAGAAGUGCCACAGAGGAAACAAGAAGUGACUUUGGUAAUACCCAGAGAAUCAGGUUUAAAAGAGGCCAUUGCUCUAGCAAAUUUAGAGUGGAAAUGAGCUCAGCUGGCAAGAAGAAUGAAAGGUAGAAGGAGUCAUCUAGGAGAGAUGAUUGACAGUCACGACACCACUGAUGUCACUUCCAGUUUCCACCCACCUGGACCCGCCUCUUCCUGCUAAGAGCCUUCAUCACUGUCAGCAACGCCAUCUUAGUCAGCCUAUCUUGGAGACUCGUAUUGUCACGUUUCUUUUUCUUUUUCAAAGUGCUAUACCUUAAUUGAAUAUACGGAGUUAACCUUCAUGGUGCCCCAUAGAGUUA